This is a non-coding RNA of Pelobates cultripes (western spadefoot toad), 157 nucleotides long. The record is from the annotation of a GenBank genome assembly. NCBI's taxonomy places the organism in Eukaryota, Metazoa, Chordata, Amphibia, Anura, Pelobatidae.
GCAGACACAUUCCAGCCAAUCAGCAGCAGACCCUCCCUCCAAGACCUUCCCACCUCCUGGACAGCAUCCAUUUUGAAGCUGCAUUCUUAGUGAGCUGUCCAGGAGGUGGGAGGGUCUGGGAGGGAGGGUCUGCUGCUGAUUGGCUGGAAUGUGUCUG